UAAAAUGAUCUUGCCUAACUUCUCU
RNAcentral lists this non-coding RNA (25 nucleotides) under Rattus norvegicus (Norway rat). Lineage: Eukaryota; Metazoa; Chordata; Mammalia; Rodentia; Muridae. The record is from RNAcentral.